This 28-nucleotide small RNA is filed under the name Bombyx mori (domestic silkworm). Its description in RNAcentral is "ovarian small RNA-6480". Lineage: Eukaryota; Metazoa; Arthropoda; Insecta; Lepidoptera; Bombycidae. The record is from RNAcentral.
UAGUGGAUUCUGACAUUUUGAUCGAGUA